This 520-nucleotide ribosomal RNA is filed under the name Listeria monocytogenes. RNAcentral describes it as "bacterial SSU rRNA". It matches the Rfam family "Bacterial small subunit ribosomal RNA", at positions 1020 to 1533 of the family's 1533-position model. The record is from RNAcentral. Lineage: Bacteria; Bacillati; Bacillota; Bacilli; Caryophanales; Listeriaceae.
UCGGGGACAAAGUGACAGGUGGUGCAUGGUUGUCGUCAGCUCGUGUCGUGAGAUGUUGGGUUAAGUCCCGCAACGAGCGCAACCCUUGAUUUUAGUUGCCAGCAUUUAGUUGGGCACUCUAAAGUGACUGCCGGUGCAAGCCGGAGGAAGGUGGGGAUGACGUCAAAUCAUCAUGCCCCUUAUGACCUGGGCUACACACGUGCUACAAUGGAUAGUACAAAGGGUCGCGAAGCCGCGAGGUGGAGCUAAUCCCAUAAAACUAUUCUCAGUUCGGAUUGUAGGCUGCAACUCGCCUACAUGAAGCCGGAAUCGCUAGUAAUCGUGGAUCAGCAUGCCACGGUGAAUACGUUCCCGGGCCUUGUACACACCGCCCGUCACACCACGAGAGUUUGUAACACCCGAAGUCGGUAGGGUAACCUUUAUGGAGCCAGCCGCCGAAGGUGGGACAGAUAAUUGGGGUGAAGUCGUAACAAGGUAGCCGUAUCGGAAGGUGCGGCUGGAUCACCUCCUUUCUAAGGAA